RNAcentral lists this long non-coding RNA (2029 nucleotides) under Numida meleagris (helmeted guineafowl). Its description in RNAcentral is "lncRNA (ENSNMEG00000009694.1)". The record is from RNAcentral. Lineage: Eukaryota; Metazoa; Chordata; Aves; Galliformes; Numididae.
GGGGUAUGGCUUUAAGCUAAAAGAGGGGAGAUUUAGGUCAGACGUUAGGAAGAUUUUUUUUUUCUCAGAGGUUGUGGAUGGUGCAUCCCUGGAGGCAUUCUAGACCAGGUAGGAUGGGAUCCUGAGCAGCCUCAUCUGGUGGUUGGCAACCCUGCUCAUGGCAGGGGGGUAGAACUAGAUGAUCUUUGAGGUCUCCUCCAACCUAAGCCAUUCUAUGAUUCUAUAAAUCAAAACAUACUUGAUGGGAGUGAAUAGCGUUCUAGUGUGUAAAUAUGUCCUUCCCGGUGACACCAUCCAGAAUAUUUAUUCUUUGGCUCUGUUGUGAAAGCAAGAGCUUUCAAUGGAUUGUGUGGGAUGGCAUUCACUUCCCAAAUGUUUAGAGAAAGGGUAGUUUUGUGGCUGAAAUAUAGGAUGCUCUGGGGCCUAUUCUAGACCCAAGAUCACCUUUAUGAGGGCUGGAAAUUUUCAAGAGCACUCAGCUCUCCUCCAGCCCUUCUAUAAAUGAAAUUCUUCCAGUGAAGGAACAUCACUGUCUGUUUCUACUUUCCAGCUUUAAAAUGAAUCUGACACUUCUGACCUGCCCCACAACCAUGUGUCUCUCCUGCUGAGUCUCCUUACAAAUCAGCAUCUUCAAAAAGCCUAGAGUAGGAACACCCCUGUCAUCCAACACCUAUCUCUAAGCAGCAGUCAGGAGCAGAAGAGAUGAAAAUACCUUCUUGGGGCUCUCCAGCAGGAUCUCCAGUUCUGCAGGUGCACCUCUGAACUCAUUUACCAAAGUACGCCAAGCCCAUCCUGUGCCAGCAAAACCUCUGUUAAAGAUUUGGCAACAAGAUGUCCAGAUCUGCUGCGGCCACCAACACCACCGUGGUGGAUGUGCUGGAGAAGGCCUUGAGAAAGGGCAGCUCGUUUUCUCGGCCAUCCAUGUCUUUGCGCAUCAUAUAUCACGCCUAUGUGUCCAGAGGAAAGAAAGAUCCCCUCCAACCCAGCAGCCCUGUAACGGAUGGACCUUCCCGAUUUGCAGCUAGCUGACAGCUUGUGAGAACAACAGCUUGAAUUACUGAAAGAACUUUUCCCACUGAGUUAAUCUGCAAUGGAUGUAGGUGACCUUCUAAAGGCAUCUAUUAAUCAAAAAACCCGUGCCCAUUCACUGCGCUAGGCUGAGCCCUUUGGGGGAAGGGGGGGUACUAAUUUCCCUCUGAGAUAAAUCAUAAUUUGACAAUAAUCAUCUGCCCUAAUCACUCCGAUUCUUCCCUUUAAUUAUUUGUACACACAGCUCUUCCUGCCUGGGAAACACAAAGGAUGACAUUAAACGUGGCCAGGGAGGGGUGGGCAGCGGGGCUGCGAGGCUGUCACCCAGCACUGUCCGCCAUGGGGCCAGCAUGGUGACACCCCACAGUGACACCCCACGGUGACACCCCACUGUGACACCCCCAGCCCUAAAUCUGUGUCUGUGGACAGAUAUACGCAGUGUGUAGUCGACAAGGAGCAAGGACAGUGAUGGCAGCUGGGCUCCGAGCGCAGCAGCAUCACUGCAGAGAUGUGCCUUGGUCUCUGCACGGUGCAGUCUGGGAGGCAGGUCUUUCAGGAUGUACACAUCAGCCCCCCCAAUACGAGCAAAAUCGGGGACAGCCCCCACAAGCUUCCUCAGAGCAGCUGGGCUGAUGUACAGUAAUUCCCACAGCCCAGGUCAGUAGGAUGUCUCACAAGCUAUAACACGGACCUACAGCACCAUAUGCUGGCCUAGUUUAGCAUCUACACAGCAGUGCAGCCUGCCUGGCUGCAUCGCUGCUCCCAGAGCACAGCAGAGCAGAGCUGGCCACCUGGCCCGCAGAGCAGAGCAGGCACUUGGGGACCUGCAGGGCUGCUGGUGCAGCUGGGAGAGGCAGCUCUGCUGCUGUGUGCGUGGGGACCGGCCAGCAGCAUGCCGGGACAGGCCGUCGGUGGGAGUGGGGCACACAGGUAGGACACGCUGGGCCCAGCCAUGUGAAGCCACUCUGUGGUUCAAGCAGUGCCUGCAGUGAAAGAGACG